GUAGGUGGCAAGCGUUGUCCGGAAUUAUUGGGCGUAAAGCGCGCGCAGGCGGUUCUUUAAGUCUGAUGUGAAAGCCCACGGCUCAACCGUGGAGGGUCAUUGGAAACUGGAGAACUUGAGUACAGAAGAGGUAAGCGGAAUUCCACGUGUAGCGGUGAAAUGCGUAGAGAUGUGGAGGAACACCAGUGGCGAAGGCGGCUUUCUGGUCUGUAACUGACGCUGAGGCGCGAAAGCGUGGGGAGCAAACAGGAUUAGAUACCCUGGUAGUCCACGCCGUAAACGAUGAGUGCUAAGUGUUAGGGGGGUUUUCCGCCCCCCUUAGUGCUGCAGCUAACGCAUUAAGCACUCCGCCUGGGAGUACGGCCGCAAGGCUG
RNAcentral lists this ribosomal RNA (374 nucleotides) under uncultured organism. RNAcentral describes it as "partial 16S ribosomal RNA". It matches the Rfam family "Bacterial small subunit ribosomal RNA", at positions 527 to 896 of the family's 1533-position model. The record is from RNAcentral.